Molecule: ribosomal RNA, 438 nt
Filed under: uncultured bacterium
Lineage: Bacteria
Description: bacterial SSU rRNA
Rfam family: Bacterial small subunit ribosomal RNA
Source: RNAcentral
UACGGAAGGCAGCAGGGGGAAUAUUGCACAAUGGGCGCAAGCCUGAUGCAGCCAUGCCGCGUGUAUGAAGAAGGCCUUCGGGUUGUAAAGUACUUUCAGUCGUGAGGAAGGUGUUAAGGUUAAUAACCUUAGCAAUUGACGUUAGCGACAGAAGAAGCACCGGCUAACUCUGUGCCAGCAGCCGCGGUAAUACGGAGGGUGCGAGCGUUAAUCGGAAUUACUGGGCGUAAAGGGCACGCAGGCGGUUAAUUAAGUUGGAUGUGAAAUCCCCGGGCUUAACCUGGGAAUGGCAUUCAAGACUGGUUAGCUAGAGUCUUGUAGAGGGGGUAGAAUUCCAUGUGUAGCGGUGAAAUGCGUAGAGAUGUGGAGGAAUACCGGUGGCGAAGGCGGCCCCUGGACAAAGACUGACGCUCAUGUGCGAAAGCGUGGGGAGCAAAC